AGGAAUAUUGGUCAAUGGGCGCGAGCCUGAACCAGCCAAGUAGCGUGAAGGAUGAAGGUCCUACGGAUUGUAAACUUCUUUUAUAAGGGAAUAAAGUCACCCACGUGUGGGUGUUUGUAUGUACCUUAUGAAUAAGCAUCGGCUAACUCCGUGCCAGCAGCCGCGGUAAUACGGAGGAUGCGAGCGUUAUCCGGAUUUAUUGGGUUUAAAGGGAGCGUAGACGGGCCGUUAAGUCAGCUGUGAAAGCUUGAGGCUCAACCUUAAAAUUGCAGUUGAUACUGGCGUCCUUGAGUACGGUUGAGGCAGGCGGAAUUCGUGGUGUAGCGGUGAAAUGCUUAGAUAUCACGAAGAACCCCGAUUGCGAAGGCAGCCUGCUAAACCGCCACUGACGUUGAGGCUCGAAAGUGUGGGUAUCAAACAGGAUUAGAUACCCUGGUAGUCCACACGGUAAACGAUGGAUACUCGCUGUUGGCGAUAGACUGUCAGCGGCUUAGCGAAAGCGUUAAGUAUCCCACCUGGGGAGUACGCCGGCAACGGUGAAACUCAAAGGAAUUGACGGGGGCCCGCACAAGCGGAGGAACAUGUGGUUUAAUUCGAUGAUACGCGAGGAACCUUACCCGGGCUUGAAUUGCAGACGAAUUGCUUGGAAACAGGCAAGCCGCAAGGCGUCUGUGAAGGUGCUGCAUGGUUGUCGUCAGCUCGUGCCGUGAGGUGUCGGCUUAAGUGCCAUAACGAGCGCAACCCUCGUGUCCAGUUACUAGCAGGUUAUGCUGAGGACUCUGGACAGACUGCCAUCGUAAGAUGUGAGGAAGGUGGGGAUGACGUCAAAUCAGCACGGCCCUUACGUCCGGGGCUACACACGUGUUACAAUGGGGGGUACAGCAGGCAGCUACCGGGCGACCGGAUGCCAAUCCCGAAAGCCUCUCUCAGUUCGGACUGGAGUCUGCAACCCGACUCCACGAAGCUGGAUUCGCUAGUAAUCGCGCAUCAGCCACGGCGCGGUGAAUACGUUCCCG
This 1016-nucleotide ribosomal RNA is filed under the name uncultured bacterium. Its description in RNAcentral is "bacterial SSU rRNA". It matches the Rfam family "Bacterial small subunit ribosomal RNA", at positions 357 to 1376 of the family's 1533-position model. The record is from RNAcentral.